GGGUGCGAUCAUACCAGCACUAAUGCACCUGA
This 32-nucleotide ribosomal RNA is filed under the name Platanus gentryi. The record is from RNAcentral. Lineage: Eukaryota; Viridiplantae; Streptophyta; Magnoliopsida; Proteales; Platanaceae.